Molecule: non-coding RNA, 89 nt
Organism: Acanthosepion pharaonis
Lineage: Eukaryota; Metazoa; Mollusca; Cephalopoda; Sepiida; Sepiidae
Source: the annotation of a GenBank genome assembly
GUUGAAACGCCGGUUCUCGUCCGAUUACCGAAGUUAAGCAAGGUCGAGCCUGGUCAAUACCUAGAUGAGUGUCGCCUUGGGAAUACCAG